This 484-nucleotide ribosomal RNA is filed under the name uncultured bacterium. RNAcentral describes it as "bacterial SSU rRNA". It matches the Rfam family "Bacterial small subunit ribosomal RNA", at positions 30 to 507 of the family's 1533-position model. The record is from RNAcentral.
AUUGAACGCUGGCGGAAUGCUUUACACAUGCAAGUCGAACGGCAGCACGGACUUCGGUCUGGUGGCGAGUGGCGAACGGGUGAGUAAUAUAUCGGAACGUGCCCAGUCGUGGGGGAUAACGUAGUGAAAAUUACGCUAAUACCGCAUACGAUCUAUGGAUGAAAGCGGGGGAUCGCAAGACCUCGCGCGAUUGGAGCGGCCGAUAUCAGAUUAGGUAGUUGGUGAGGUAAAGGCUCACCAAGCCAACGAUCUAUAGCUGGUCUGAGAGGAUGAUCAGCCACACUGGGACUGAGACACGGCCCAGACUCCUACGGGAGGCAGCAGUGGGGAAUUUUGGACAAUGGGCGCAAGCCUGAUCCAGCCAUUCCGCGUGCAGGACGAAGGCCUUCGGGUUGUAAACUGCUUUUGUACAGAACGAAAAGCUCUGGGUUAAUACCCUGGGGUCAUGACGGUACUGUAAGAAUAAGCACCGGCUAACUACGAG